RNAcentral lists this long non-coding RNA (3960 nucleotides) under Homo sapiens (human). Its description in RNAcentral is "HSALNT0357759". Lineage: Eukaryota; Metazoa; Chordata; Mammalia; Primates; Hominidae. The record is from RNAcentral.
AACCCUGUAGGGUCUGUUUCGAGUUUGUGGAAGCUGUGUUCUUUUGGUCUUCACAAUAAAUCUUGAUUCUGCUUAGUGUUGGGAACUGUGCUAUGUUUGUGAGCUGUAAUACUGCCAAGGUGUGCAGCUUCACUCAUGAAGCCACAGAGACCAUGAACCCAUCAAGACCACGAUCCUACCGGGAGGAAUGAAUAACUCCAGACACGCCACCUUUAAGAGCUGUAACACUGGCCGGGUGUGGUGGCUCACGCCUGUAAUCCCUGCAUUUUGGGGGGGCUGAGGUGGGCGGAUCACAAGUUCAGGAGAUCCAGACCAUCCUGGCCAACAUGGUGAAAUCGUGUCUCUGCUAAAAAUAAGAAAAAUUAGCCAGGAGUGGUGGCAGGCGCCUGUAGUCCCAGCUACUCGGAGGCUGAGGCAGUAGAAUGGCAUGAACCCGGGAGGUGGAGCUUGCAGUGAGCUGGGAUUGCAUCACUGCACUCCAGCCUGGGUGACAGAGCGAGGCUCUGUCUCAAAAAAAAAAAAAAAAAAAGCUGUAACACUCACGGCAACGGUCUGUGCCUUCACUCCUGAAGUAAGCAAGACCACGAACCCACCAGAAGGAAGAAACUCUGGACACAUCUGAACAUCUUAAGGAACAAAUUCUGGACACCAUCUUUAAGAACUAUAACAGUCACUAUGAGGGUCUGCCUGUUCAUUCUUGAAGUCAGUGAGACUAAAAUCAACUGGAAGGAACCAAUUCUGGACACAGAAGCAUUACUUUCUCUGAAGGAAGCCCAUGCUUCUGCCCCUGGGCAUCUGAGCCAGCUCAAAGCAUGUUUGGCUUGGAGGAAACCUCACCAGGAAGGACAGCGCAGCUCUAUUAAGCUGUGGUGGGGAUGAACAACUGGCCUGUGAACUGUCAUGCCUGGAUUUUGGUCACAUAUAGUUAGUUACCAGGUAAUCUCUCAGCUUGGAAAAACAGCAUCAAGCAACUAGUGAAAGUGAUUCUCUGUGCACUCCAGGUCCCCGACUGCUUGCUGAACUGACUUGAUAUAGAUGUUGGUUUCACAAUACUGGGAAGUGUGAAAUAGCUGAUGAACUUUAAAGAAAUCAUCCCUAUCACAUGUCAACAAAUUGAAGGCUGUCCUCUCCAACAGCUACAGGAUGGGCAGCUGUUCUCUGUUGCUGAUUAAAUGCAGAUCCAUAAGCUUUGGCAAGAAGUUGAGUGGAGGAAGUGUUGAUUGCCUCCUGAGGAAACCAAGAUGCCUAACAAUGACUUAGGCCUGAGUCCUUGCUCAGGGCUGUGUGUGUUUAUGUGUUCCACAAUCAUCUGUAGAAAAUUAUUGGGGGAAAUUCUCCCCCGAUAUUUCACUUAGGUUCUUUUCUGUUUUCCCUAAGUGUCAGCUGGUCUGAGAAAUAAAGGGACAGAGUACAAAAGAGAGAAAUUUUAAAGCUGGUUGUCCGGGGGAGACAUCACAUGUCGGCAGGUUCUGUGAUGCCCCCUGAGCCAUAAAACCAGCAAGUUUUUAUUAUUGAUUUUCCAAAGGGGAAGGAGUGUACCAAUAGGGUGUGGUUCACAGAGAUCAUGUGCUUCACAAGGUAAUAGAAUAUCACAAGGCAAAUGGAGGCAGGGUGAGCUCACAGGACCACAGGACCAGGGCGAAAUUAAAAUUGCCAGUGAAGUUUUGGGCACGCAUUGUCAUUGAUAACAUCUUAUCAGGAGACAGGGUUUGAGAGCAGACAACCAGUCUGACCAAAAUUUAUUAGGCGGGAAUUUCCUCAUCCUAAUAAGGCUGGGAGCACUACUGAGACCCGGGCUUAUUUCAUCCCCUAUCUACAACCGUAAAAGACAGCUGUCCCCAGAGCGGCCAUUUGAGAGGCCUCCCCUUAGGGACGCAUUCUCUUUCUCAGGGAUGUUCCUUGCUGAGAAAAAGAAUUCAAUGAUAUUUCUCCUAUUUGCUUUUGAAAGAAGAGAAAUAUGGCUCUGUUCUGCCUGGCUCACAGGCAGCCAAAGUUUAAGGUUAUCUCCCUUGUUCCCUGAACAUUGCUGUUAUCCUGGUCUUUUUUCAAGGUGCCCAGAUUUCAUAUUGUUCAAACACACAUGCUCUACAAACAAUUUGUGCAGUUAACGCAAUCUUCACAGGGUCCUGAGGUGACAUACAUCCUCCUCAGGGAUUAAGAGAUUAAAGUAAAGGCAGGCAUAAGAAAUCACAAGGGUAUUGAUUGGGGUAGUGAUAAGUGUCCAUGAAAUCUUCACAAUUUAUAUUCAGAGAUUGCAGUAAAGACCGGCUUAAGAAAUUAUAAAAGUAUUAAUUUGAGGAACUAUUAAAUGUCCAUGAAAUCUUCACAAUUUAUGUUCUUCUGCUGUGGCUUCAUCCAGUCCCUCCGUUCAGGCUCCCUAACUUCCCACAGCAGAAAAUGAUUUUGGAUCCACCAGAAAACACAAACUAUGAUGGAUGACCAGAGCUCUAACAUUUGCACUCCUUACUAAAAGAACACAAUCGUUUUAGUCUUGGGAAUGUUCAGAGUAAGUGAAAUCAGUUAAGUAUCCCAAUCAAAAAGAAUCUCCAGAAAGCACCUCACAUUUGAACUUGAGAAAGCAAAUUUUUAGUGAAAUGAUUUAUUUAAACAAAUCUUUGUUUGUAAACCUCUUGGGAUGAGGAUUGUCUACAAAACCAUAACUUGAAUUUGAGACUAGUUGGUCUUACUUUGAAGCAACACAGAACUACAAUGCUUAGCUGUUUGAUGCACAACUAGAUAGAGAUGGCACACUUCAUCAUCCACCUAAAAGAAGAUGCAUGUAUUCAUAUUACCUACAUUCUCCAUACCAGGCAAUUAUGUAGCCACCUUAGCUGUGAAUAGUAUAAGAUAAUUAACAAAUAAGUGUUAGAGAAGUGGUAAUUGUAAGUUCUAGAAAAUAUUACUUGAGUGCAUUUUUUUGUUUUUCUUAAUUUGUGGGAAUUGCUCCAUUCUGAAUGAAUUAAUUAAUUUUUUAACAGUAAUACCCUUAGUAGUAAAAAUCCAAACAAUGCUGUAACUAUAGAAUAAAACCCUCCCUUUCCCUCCCACCCUUCUUGCCAAGGGUAAUAACUUUCCAAAGUUUCUGCUUUUACUUUUUCGGGCCAUGGUUUUCAUAGCUCUAAAUAAUAUGUUCAGGGCCCUAGUUCUUGAUCUGCCAACUUUCAACAGUGUCUCUUGGCUCCUCUCCGUUAAAAAAAAAAUUAAAUUACAUACAUCAAAUUUUACUCAGCCUAAACUUUAUUUAUAUAUGUGUGAUUAUUUUCUCUUUUAGUUCUUUUGUUUUAUUUUUAUGACUUCAAAAUAUGUCAAAGCUAUUUCUUGAUCUCUAUUUACAGGGCACCCUUUGACUCUCCAUGUACGUUAAAGGAAUUAAAACCUUUGUUUUCCUGCUCUUCCUCUUCCCUCUCCAUCUCAUCAUCUGUCAGUUCUGUUCUUAUCUCAAACUGUAAGGUUUAUAAUAUUUUCAUUCUCCUUUGUCGGUAUAUUGUAUUUUAUCAAAUCUAACAUGCCACAUAAUUGUUGUAUGUUUCAUUAAACUAAGAAAAUGCCGUCAAUGGUACUUUAUUGGUUACACAGUACGUCCCAUUUUCAAGGAGGCUAAAAUGUUGGGGGGGAAGUUCCAUUAGAUUUUAUAAGAGAUAAUAAUUAGUCUCCUGUACUUUGUAGGUAAAUUCUAAAAAUAAAAAUAAGCUACUUUUACAAUAUUGUUGUGUAAUAUUUCAGUAGAAUGGAUUAGGAUCAUAGAAGAGGGAUAGAAGUUUUUGUCACUAAACCAGUGCUACCCAAAUGUAAUGGUUACAUGUCAAAAAGAUUCUCUUUUUUUACAGCCUAAAUUUGUCCUAAAUCAUGCACCAUUUUAAUGUUCUUCAUGUUGAGCUUUGAUUUUAUGUUUCUUUCCUAGACUGUCUAUUGUAUAUAUUUUAGCAUUAAAAAUAAUAUUUUGUAUUCACCUUAUCACAA